This is a long non-coding RNA of Passer domesticus (house sparrow), 419 nucleotides long. RefSeq lists it as uncharacterized. The transcript is spliced from 3 exons. The record is from RefSeq and is a predicted model, not a curated record. Lineage: Eukaryota; Metazoa; Chordata; Aves; Passeriformes; Passeridae.
GUUGGUAGCUAGAAAAUAUUUUGUAGCAUAAUGCGCCUCUUUGAGAGGAGAUUAAGUGCCUGUAAUAAAGUGAAGUCUCACUUGCAGGGUAUGAAGUGACAAGUCUUAGCAAAUGAAGUAAUUCUAGAGAUGGAUAGAACAAGAUAUGUUUUCACUUGGAUUUUCUGGAAUGUGCCAUGGUGUUUCCCAGGGUCAGACUGUGAUGGAAGACACAGUGCAUAAAGAAAGGAGGAAUGGACAAACAGAUAAAAGGGUAACCUUCAAGGUUUUCCCUGUCUGCCUAGGCUUAAUGUAACUUGCAAGCAUCUUGCUUAUGUCAGAAGUAUAUUUCGUCUUACUGUUAUGCACAAGCAUACAAAGCGACAGUUACCUAACUUGACCAGCACCUAAUUCUGGCACUUGAAUGAUGUUGCAUGUAC